GCCUGGGUGGCUCAGUUGGUUAAGCGUCUGACUUCCGCUCAGGUCACAACCUCACACUCCGUGAGUUCGAGCCCCACAUCAGGCU
Molecule: transfer RNA, 85 nt
Filed under: Felis catus (domestic cat)
Lineage: Eukaryota; Metazoa; Chordata; Mammalia; Carnivora; Felidae
Also listed under: 1 other name
Rfam family: tRNA
About the family: Transfer RNA (tRNA) molecules are approximately 80 nucleotides in length. Their secondary structure includes four short double-helical elements and three loops (D, anti-codon, and T loops).
Source: Rfam by way of RNAcentral